RNAcentral lists this ribosomal RNA (165 nucleotides) under uncultured bacterium. Its description in RNAcentral is "partial 16S rRNA". It matches the Rfam family "Bacterial small subunit ribosomal RNA", at positions 355 to 511 of the family's 1533-position model. The record is from RNAcentral.
UAGGGAAUCUUCGGCAAUGGGGGCAACCCUGACCGAGCAACGCCGCGUGAGUGAAGAAGGUUUUCGGAUUGUAAAGCUCUGUUGUAAGAGAAGAACGUGUGUGAGAGUGGAAAGUUCACACAGUGACGGUAACUUACCAGAAAGGGACGGCUAACUACGUGCCAC